UACGUAGGGGGCUAGCGUUGUCCGGAAUCAUUGGGCGUAAAGCGCGUGUAGGCGGCCCGGUAAGUCCGCUGUGAAAGUCGGGGGCUCAACCCUCGGAUGCCGGUGGAUACUGUCGGGCUUGAGUGCGGAAGAGGCGAGUGGAAUUCCUGGUGUAGCGGUGAAAUGCGUAGAGAUCAUGAGGAAGACCAGUGGCGAAGGCGGGUCUCUGGACAGUUCCUGACACUGAGACACGAAGGCCAGGGGAGCAAACGGG
This 253-nucleotide ribosomal RNA is filed under the name uncultured bacterium. RNAcentral describes it as "partial 16S ribosomal RNA". It matches the Rfam family "Bacterial small subunit ribosomal RNA", at positions 524 to 776 of the family's 1533-position model. The record is from RNAcentral.